UACAGAGGUCCCAAGCGUUGUUCGGAUUCAUUGGGCGUAAAGGGUGCGUAGGCGGUUGAGUAAGUCGGGUGUGAAAACUCUGGGCUUAACCCAGAGCCGCCACCCGAUACUGCUCUGACUUGAGUUCGGUAGGGGAGCAGGGAAUUCCUAGUGUAGCGGUGAAAUGCGCAGAUAUUAGGAGGAACACCGGUGGCGAAGGCGCUGCUCUGGGCCGAUACGUGACGCUGAGGAGCGAAAGCGUGGGUAGCAAACAGG
RNAcentral lists this ribosomal RNA (255 nucleotides) under uncultured bacterium. Its description in RNAcentral is "partial 16S ribosomal RNA". It matches the Rfam family "Bacterial small subunit ribosomal RNA", at positions 524 to 776 of the family's 1533-position model. The record is from RNAcentral.